Molecule: long non-coding RNA, 314 nt
Organism: Passer domesticus (house sparrow)
Lineage: Eukaryota; Metazoa; Chordata; Aves; Passeriformes; Passeridae
Exons: 3
Source: RefSeq, a predicted model, not a curated record
UAAAGCAAAUGUGCACCAGUGAGGAGAAUCUGAUUAACUCACUGAUGUUCCAGUCCAAGCAGCUAUCAGCCAAGGACAUAAAGCUGUCAAAUUGCAUGAAUGAAAUCAUUUCUCAUGUGGAAGAAAUUUCCAAACUUGCCUUCAUAACAAAGUAAAUUGGAGAUUCAUUGUUGGUUUGGAACAGAUGUCAGCAGCACUAAACAACCUUCAUUCCCAUCACUUAUGAUGCUCCUGUGCAAUGUUCUGAAGAUAAACAGAAAUGUUAAAAUAGAAUCCAUUUUGUGGCUACAACAGCCACUUUUGUCCUGGCACUU